This 305-nucleotide ribosomal RNA is filed under the name uncultured bacterium. RNAcentral describes it as "bacterial SSU rRNA". It matches the Rfam family "Bacterial small subunit ribosomal RNA", at positions 337 to 656 of the family's 1533-position model. The record is from RNAcentral.
GCCUACGGGGGGCAGCAGUGGGGGAUAUUGGACAAUGGGGGGAACCCUGAUCCAGCGACGCCGCGUGAGUGAAGAAGUAUUUCGGUAUGUAAAGCUCUGUCAGCAGGGAAGAAAGAAAUGACGGUACCUGACCAAGAAGCCCCGGCUAACUACGUGCCAGCAGCCGCGGUAAUACGUAGGGGGCAAGCGUUAUCCGGAAUUACUGGGUGUAAAGGGAGCGUAGACUGUUAAGUAAGUCUGGAGUGAAAGGCCGGGGCCCAACCCCGGGACUGCUCUGGAAACUAUUUAACUUGAGUGCAGGAGAG